UGGCAAGGCAGUGCAUUGGUUAUGUGCCCU
Molecule: non-coding RNA, 30 nt
Filed under: Mus musculus (house mouse)
Lineage: Eukaryota; Metazoa; Chordata; Mammalia; Rodentia; Muridae
Source: RNAcentral